UCGCAAGUCCAGGAGUUUGCCGGAAGUCCGUAGGAGCAUCACUGAGGGUUCAUCGGAUGAUCGACGGAAGUUCGCCGGAAGAAGCGAUUGACGCACCGGAGCAAGAUUGCAGUAAAUGUCUUAGGAAAUAUCGUAGUUAGCACAAUGAUUAAGUUGGAAAUGGGAGGUGAUCCCAUUAACUUAAUCUUGGGGCAAUUGGGCCCCUAAAAAACCC
Molecule: long non-coding RNA, 214 nt
Filed under: Musa acuminata (dwarf banana)
Lineage: Eukaryota; Viridiplantae; Streptophyta; Magnoliopsida; Zingiberales; Musaceae
Description: long non-coding RNA (MACU_LNC007899)
Source: RNAcentral